UUACAAUAAUUACAACAAUUAUUUUUAUACUAAAAGUAUUUUCACAAUUCGACAUAGAGCCAUUAGGGCCUUUUAUUCUAAAAAAUAAUAAUGACGGGGUUGUCGUUGGAUGGGCGUACCCGGAAGUUUACGAAAGAAACGCGUGGACUUUGUAAACAAAUGUGAAUUAAUAUUUACGUUGAACAAAUAGCAAUUUGUGAAAAAAGGAUGUAACGCUGCGUUUUCAGUACGUAUCUUUGUUGUUUUUAAUAGCCUGAAGUCAACUUAUGAACGCUUCCAAACUUAGUUAAAAAGCAGCGGUGUCUGUGCUUGUCAUUAAAUCGAUGGAGGCGCAGAAUGACAUGGAAGUGGUUCGUGAGACACAGUCUGACGGACCGGGAGCAGAUGUGCAAUCCCAGACUCUCUCUUUUUCAGAGGUGUACCGCAGGAUUCAAGCAGGGGAGCAGGUUCCAGGACUUCACCAGCCGGAAAUCAAACCAUGCCAUGAAAUGCCCACCGUUUCCCAGAUGCCUCGAAUGCUAAAACCAUGGGAGAAAUGAUGGGUGUUGACGAAUUUUAAGAGAUAAGACUGGUCCAUAUGGUUCUGCUUCGCACGAGUCGUAAACGACUGCUGCCCAUGACUGUACUAGGACAACAAAAUAAAAUAAAGUGCGUGAAUAUGUAUGCAUUUAAUCCUAAGGAAGUGUGAUACAAAAGAAUAUGAUUGAUAAUAGUUAAACAAUGGGAAACAAAUUAUCGUUGAUCUGAACUUUAUGACAACUGCUUCCCUGUUGCUUCACGUCUGUGUGAAACAAACAUGCAAAAAAGGGAAGUUCACAUGCUUACAGUCUCAUAGCGUAUGAGAGGAAGUGAACAUCCCUUGUUGCUCAACUUGCAAUCAAAUGUGCUGUUCAGAAACAAAGACACAGCAAAACCAUACCUGGGGCCUCAUUUAUCAACAAUGCGUGGGCACAGAUAUGUGCGUAAGAAAACAUUGACGCAAAGUGUUGUAUUUACCAAUUUGUACUUGUACGUUGAAUUGUGUGUAAAUAUAAGCACACCUCUGAGCAUG
Molecule: long non-coding RNA, 1051 nt
Organism: Triplophysa dalaica
Lineage: Eukaryota; Metazoa; Chordata; Actinopteri; Cypriniformes; Nemacheilidae
Exons: 2
Source: RefSeq, a predicted model, not a curated record